Molecule: ribosomal RNA, 460 nt
Filed under: uncultured bacterium
Lineage: Bacteria
Description: partial 16S ribosomal RNA
Rfam family: Bacterial small subunit ribosomal RNA
Source: RNAcentral
CCUACGGGAGGCAGCAGUGAGGAAUAUUGGUCAAUGGACGGAAGUCUGAACCAGCCAUGCCGCGUGCAGGAAGACGGCCCUAUGAGUUGUAAACUGCUUUUGUACAAGGGUAAACCUGCAUACGUGUAUUCAGCUGAAAGUACUGUACGAAUAAGGAUCGGCUAACCCCGUGCCAGCAGCCGAGGUACUACGGAGGAUCCAAGCGUUGUCCUGAUUUAUUGGGUUUAAAGGGAGCGUAGGGGGAUGGAUAAGGUAGAGGUGAAAUGUCCGAGCUUAACUCGGGAACUGCCUCUAAUACUGUUGAUCUAGAGAGUUGAUGCGGUAGGCGGAAUGUAUGGUGUAGCGGUGAAAUGCUUAGAGAUCAUACAGAACACCGAUUGCGAAGGCAGCUUACCAAUCUAUAUCUGACGCUGAGGCACGAAAGCGUGGGGAGCAAACAGGAUUAGAUACCCCUGUAGUC